Molecule: ribosomal RNA, 241 nt
Filed under: uncultured bacterium
Lineage: Bacteria
Description: partial 16S ribosomal RNA
Rfam family: Bacterial small subunit ribosomal RNA
Source: RNAcentral
AGUAUCGCGUGGGUAAUCUACCUUGAGGUGGGGGAUAGCCUCGGGAAACCGAGGGUAAUACCGCAUGAGUCCUCAAUGACAUAAGUCGAUGAGGGGAAAGGCGGGGCUCCUUCGGGACCUGUCGCCUCUAGAUGAGCCCGCGUCCGAUUAGCUAGUUGGUGGGGUAAUGGCCUACCAAGGCAACGAUCGGUAGCCGGCCUGAGAGGGUGAACGGCCACAUUGGGACUGAGACACGGCCCAG